GUGCCAGCAGCCGCGGUAAGACGAAGGGGGCUAGCGUUGUUCGGAAUUACUGGGCGUAAAGCGCGUGUAGGCGGUUGUUCAAGUCAGGUGUGAAAGCCUUGAGCUCAACUCAAGAAAUGCACUUGAUACUGAAUGACUAGAGGACCGGAGAGGAUAGUGGAAUUCCCAGUGUAGUGGUGAAAUACGUAGAGAUUGGGAAGAACACCGGUGGCUAAGGCGGCUCUCUAGUACGGUACUGACGCUGAGACGCGAAAGCGUGGGGAGCGAACAGGAUUAGAUACCCUGGUAGUCCACGCCGUAAACGAUGGAUGCUAGCCGUCAGCAAGCAUGCUUGUUGGUGGCGCAGCUAACGCAUUAAGCAUCCCGCCUGGGGAGUACGGCCGCAAGGUUAAAACUCAAAGGAAUUGACGG
Molecule: ribosomal RNA, 411 nt
Filed under: uncultured bacterium
Lineage: Bacteria
Description: bacterial SSU rRNA
Rfam family: Bacterial small subunit ribosomal RNA
Source: RNAcentral